Cyprinus carpio (common carp) is the source of this 1777-nucleotide long non-coding RNA. RefSeq lists it as uncharacterized. The transcript is spliced from 3 exons. NCBI's taxonomy places the organism in Eukaryota, Metazoa, Chordata, Actinopteri, Cypriniformes, Cyprinidae. The record is from RefSeq and is a predicted model, not a curated record.
AACAGCGUUACAGUGUCAUGUCCUACAGGUAAAGGUGACCCAGGUCCUACAGUUGAAAGUGGCUCAGGUCCUACAGUUGAAAGUGGCCCAGGUCCCCGUACAUUCUUUGGCUUUGAUUUCUGGGUAAUGGUGGGCAUUUUGGCAGGUUCAGGAGCCCUUCUGCUGCUGCUGCUAUGUGUUCUAAUCAUCUGUGUAUGUCGAAGCUGUAGCCAACACAAGCACCAAAAAGAUGAGGGGGAGUUCAGGCUGAGGAAUCUUCAAGCUCCAGCUCCUACCAAAACAGAUCCAAACACAGAGGAAACAUCUGAUUACGACUAACCACCUGAGUGUUCAUACUUCCCUAAUUUAAGAUCUGCGGACCCGGAUAUGGGUCCAAAAUUGUGUUAAAAAUGUUUAUGCUUCAUUUAUAUAGCCUUGCUUAUAUGGUAUCAGCCCAUAUAUGGGUUCAUUUGAAACCUUAGACUCUGUUCUUUACAGAGAUGCUACAUAAAGCAGGAAAAUAAUUAAGUUUAGAAAUGCAUUCGUGCCACACACAAAUUUCCGCCUAACGAUUACAAAGAAUUUUUCCUAAGAAUGUGAAUCUUAUAUAUUUUUCACAAAACAUUCAAGUCAUAUAUCACAAAAAAAAAGCUCUCAUUCUCAGGAAUUUGACUGGAGAUUAUUUCAUUGUGUGACAAUCACAGAUUGAAUGAUCUCCAAUAGAAUCAUGAUGUGAAAUUUGUUACCUCUGAGCAAACUUUCAUAUGUGUCACAUUCCUAGUUGUACUUCUGCUUCAGUCAGCCGGAAACAGCCAAAAACUGUAAUAUAUUUUAGAUUAUGAUCUCUUCUUUCAAACAAAACCAUUUUCACGUUUCUGCGUGCUUCCAUCACUGAGAUAUAUUGCUUUUUGUCUUGAUGAGCACCAGGAAAUAAAAGAUGCAGUUUUUGCCAAGCGGCUCUUAUCUUUUACAACUCUGAGCUGCCCAGUGGACUGCAGUAGGUCAGAAUACGUCACUCUAGCUCGGUGGCUAUUCAGAGCUGUGAAAUUUGACACCUCUGGGUCUACAGAGGGGAGGGUGAGCGGGUGGUCAGAGAGAGCAUCCGGGGCAGCACUGCAGCGGUGUUGUGGUCGGGAUUUGUAGUUUUUGGACUGUUUUGAAGGCGAGAAUAGCACACAGAAAGGCUAGCGCAUUGGGGGAUUGAUAAUAGCAAUCUAUGGACAUUAUAAUAAAAGUUAUAGAUGAUGAAGAACGUUCAGCGGCACUGUGGAGAGGAAUGAACGCGCGUCUGGUGAGGGUUUAUGAGCGUGUUUGCUCCGUUUUUGAUAGAAUCUCUAUUUUGAAACGUGAAAGCACGUUUAUUAAAAUUUAAAGCACAAAUAUUAAAAUGUAAUGGAUUUAACACCGUAAAGUGAAAUGUCAGCAGGCCGUUUAUUACAUUACAUAUUUUAAACAGUGUUGUUCAAUAAAACCAUGUAUUUACUUGGUUUUGAUAUUUUAUUUGAACCAAUUAUUACUGCCUCAUCGUUAGUUUUUAUGAAUAACUCUAUUUACUAAAGCCUGGUUUUCACUUCAAUCUAUUUGUGUUACUAAAAAAUAUCAGAUUACUCAAUUGACAAAAUAAUCAGUAGAUUGCUAGAUGAUCAAAAUAAUCAUCAGUUACAGCCUUAGAUUAGUUAAAAUAUUUCAAAAUACUACUGCAUUGUUUUACUUUUUGUAAUUAAAAGACAGGUAUUUUGUCACUGAAAAUUUCUUAAAUAUUCUAUUAAAAUGUCUCGUUAUAGGGAACCAAGUAUCU